Molecule: ribosomal RNA, 253 nt
Filed under: uncultured bacterium
Lineage: Bacteria
Description: partial 16S ribosomal RNA
Rfam family: Bacterial small subunit ribosomal RNA
Source: RNAcentral
UACGUAGGGUGCGAGCGUUGUCCGGAAUUAUUGGGCGUAAAGGGCUCGUAGGCGGUUUGUCGCGUCGGGAGUGAAAACACCGGGCUUAACUCGGUGCUUGCUUUCGAUACGGGCAGACUAGAGGUAUGCAGGGGAGAACGGAAUUCCUGGUGUAGCGGUGAAAUGCGCAGAUAUCAGGAGGAACACCGGUGGCGAAGGCGGGUCUCUGGGCCGAUACUGACGCUGAGGAGCGAAAGCGUGGGGAGCAAACAGG